CCAUGAUAGGAUUCGAGGAAUCCUACUCCAACCAGUACUGGAAUUGAGGUCAAACACAACACACGUCAAUGCCUUGAGCUGGUGCUGUGCAGAAUACCCUAUAUAUAUACCCAUAUGAAUAUUGAUGAAAACGGCUAGAGUUGGAUAUUAAGAGAAUGUCAAAUUCAAAGGAGUCAAAGAAGAGUGAGGCGUUGACAAACAGUGGUCCCUUCAAGGUCCAGUGCAGUUGUGACUGUGAGGAGAGUGAUUGCGAUGAAGUAUGGACCCUCAAAAAGCGAUACUGGCCCGACAGUCUACCAGAUUCACCAUCAUGUCGAGGUUGCGGAGGCUGUACUAAAAUAAAGUUACUUCAUACUCCAUACCAAGGUGGACGACGAUGUUUCGGUUAUUAUUCGUGCAAUGAAUGUAAAAAUAAAUGGUCAAGUGCAUAUAGCUGGGCUAACACUUAUCAAGAGUGUGUGAAUUGUGAUGGAUGUGUGUAUCCUCAGGGCCAGCGUAAACUUGAGAGAUCCGGAGAAAGGAAUCCUGAAAAGCCACAUCUAUCGGAGCGUUGUGGAAAGUGUCAAGAAUUAGAACACUCUUGCAAUGGGACAUGGUAGAGAUUAAACAGUUCGAAGAUGUGUCUGUGAGCAAAAUCUACAUGUAUGAUAAUUGUGGCCUGCAAAAAGGAUUGUUUCUAGACUUGUAUUUCCCUUACUGGUGCACACUUUUGCUUUGCCCUAGGAUGGCGCUACAUGUAUGAAAACACUGCUUAUGAACAUAGCUGACCAAAAUCAUGAAAUUCAUACUGUGGACACUCCUCAGGAGACUACAUUUCAAAAUACGCGAGGUUUUUUCCACCUACUUUUCAAGGUCACAGUAGGUCAAAUAGCACAAUUUGGCUAUUAUUCAAUGCUCAAUAGUUCCAUAUUGGCCAACUAUAGAUCGAUAUCUUUCUUUACAACAAUGUAUAAUAUCUUUCUUAUGUCAUGCAUGAAUUAUUGGCUGCAAAUGCGCUGUUUUUGUGCGUGCACGUAGAGUAAAACCUCCCUCAGUGGACACCUCUCUAUUAAGGAGCCUAGUUUUCAUUCCAUUUGACCUCUCUAAAUUAAUCAGGACACCUCUCUUGCCAGUAGGGGGUUUUUGACUCCCCAAUCACAUUCUAACCCACAAUCAUGGCAAAUGAAUAUAAACAAGUCUAUUUCAGCCUCAAAUCUUUCUUACAAGGGCUAAAUACGCACACAAUCAAUCCCAAAAAGCAAAUUCGGGAUCGAUGCGCGUUUUUCACUGAAUUAUCUACGGUAUUUAUUAUAUACAUCAGAGACCCCCAGCGACAAACUGCUCUAAGGAAUAGUUGGAAAGCCCUGGUAUGUCCUCAAAAAUGAGUGGUCUUGUACAUGUAAUACAUUGCCUAUAUUUCAAGCAUUGUAGUUCCCUGGCAGUCUACCUGGGGAUGGAAAAAACACCAUUGUAUUUGUGAGUGACGUCAACAACAAUCACCACCUGGGUUGUCUAAGACAUUCAUUAUUAUUUUUAAAAAUGAAUAAAAUUGAUUACCUGUCAUAGGAUUGCUAGCUUGAA
Lineus longissimus is the source of this 1560-nucleotide long non-coding RNA. RefSeq lists it as uncharacterized. The transcript is spliced from 3 exons. The record is from RefSeq and is a predicted model, not a curated record. Lineage: Eukaryota; Metazoa; Nemertea; Pilidiophora; Heteronemertea; Lineidae.